UACGGAGGGGGCAAGCGUUACCCGGAUUUACUGGGUGUAAAGGGUCCGCAGGCGGUUAAGCAAGUCAGUUUUUAAAUACUCUGGCUCAACCAGAGAAUUGGAACAGAUACUGCUUAACUAUGAGUCUAGAGGGGGAAAACGGAACUGCCGGUGUAGCGGUGAAAUGCGUAGAUAUCGGCAGGAACACCUGUGGCGAAGGCGGUUUUCUACUCUGGUACUGACGCUCAUGGACGAAAGCGUGGGGAGCGAUCGGGAUUAGAUAC
This 263-nucleotide ribosomal RNA is filed under the name uncultured bacterium. RNAcentral's name for it is "partial 16S ribosomal RNA". It matches the Rfam family "Bacterial small subunit ribosomal RNA", at positions 524 to 785 of the family's 1533-position model. The record is from RNAcentral.